UAAUUGAUUUAAAAAUUACGACAGUCUUGUUUUGUGCUCUACACAGUCCUGUACAUAUAUAUUUGCAACCAUGUUCUUAAUUGAAACAUUUUUUAAAUCGCUAUCUUGCUACGCUAAUGUUACAUUGCUGAUUUGCACAACAGUCCCGCAUUUCUCUGACUAGCCUUGAAUGGACUCCAUGGCAGCCAGCUAGCGAUGAUGUAUGAUGACGUAACCGAAACCAACCCUAGUCCUGACCACGC
This is a long non-coding RNA of Sander lucioperca (pikeperch), 242 nucleotides long. RefSeq lists it as uncharacterized. The transcript is spliced from 3 exons. NCBI's taxonomy places the organism in Eukaryota, Metazoa, Chordata, Actinopteri, Perciformes, Percidae. The record is from RefSeq and is a predicted model, not a curated record.